GACGAACGCUGGCGGCGUGCCUAACACAUGCAAGUCGAACGAGAUCCAUGGGAGCUUGCUCCCGGAAGAUCUAGUGGCGAACGGGUGAGUAACACGUGAGAAACCUGCCCUGGAGUGGGGAAUAACUCGGGGAAACUCGAGCUAAUACCGCAUACCCUCGGAUGGUCGCAUGGCCGACCGAGGGAAAGAUUUAUCGCUCUAGGAGGGUCUCGCGGCCUAUCAGCUAGUUGGUGGGGUAACGGCCUACCAAGGCAGCGACGGGUAGCUGGUUUGAGAGAACGAUCAGCCACACUGGGACUGAGACACGGCCCAGACUCCUACGGGAGGCAGCAGUGGGGAAUCUUGCGCAAUGGGCGAAAGCCUGACGCAGCAACGCCGCGUGCGGGAUGACGGCCUUCGUGGUUGUAACCGCUUUCAGCAGGGACGAAAUGACGGUACCUGCAGAAGAAG
This 450-nucleotide ribosomal RNA is filed under the name uncultured bacterium. Its description in RNAcentral is "bacterial SSU rRNA". It matches the Rfam family "Bacterial small subunit ribosomal RNA", at positions 28 to 490 of the family's 1533-position model. The record is from RNAcentral.